Molecule: long non-coding RNA, 4781 nt
Filed under: Nicotiana benthamiana
Lineage: Eukaryota; Viridiplantae; Streptophyta; Magnoliopsida; Solanales; Solanaceae
Description: long non-coding RNA (NBEN_LNC030093)
Source: RNAcentral
GGCGGUCACCUUGCUCAGCUACAAUAGAAAUAUCUUCAAUCAGCUAAUAUCCCGCUACUGGGUGAUCAAUACUGGCAUCUGCACACAUGGUGCAGGGAGUAAUGUGAGUACUCCAACACAGUGAGUAAUAAACAUAAAUAACGACUGAAAGCAUGAAAUCUCAUAAAGGUACAAUAUAAUGGUAUCUCAAGCAGUAAAAUCAAUUAAUACAAUAAAGCCGUGGAUUAUCACAUAAUUCUCUUUUAAAAACAGUGAAGAAAAUUACUUUCAACAAGUAACGAAUAAUAAAAAACUUGCCCCUCGAGCUCAAUAUCAAACUCGCAGCACAGUAUCAGACCUACAGGGUCACUCCAAACUCACCAGCACACAACAUCAGCCCCUCGGGCUCCCUCCCAACUCAUCAAACACAAACAAUGGCCUCUCGGGUCCAGUCCAAACUCACCUGGGUACCCUGUGCUCACUAGAGUAUGUACAGACUCCGGAGGGGCUCCUACAGCCCAUGUACAAUACCAAUAGGCCUGAAAUCCUUCACAUAUCACACUCGAGUCCUGAAAGCCUCCUCACAUAAUACUCGAGGCCUGAAAGCCUCAUCACAUAAUACUCGAGGCCUGAAAUCCUCCUCACAUAACACUUGAUGCCCGAAAGCCUCCUCACAUAAAACUUGAGGCCAAAAAGCCUCCUCACAUCACUCAACAUAUCCUCAAGUAUGGCCUUCAGCCUCAAUAAGUCCAUAAAAUAAUCAUAAGCCUCUUGGGUAUCAGUAAAAUUAUAGUGCUCAGCUCAACAACAUUUGUAAAUAUCAUUAAGUCUCAAGUUGAGUAUAAACGUAGCUGAGUUCACAAGAUAAUAUAAUUCAAUUGAACUGAGUUCAAAUAAUAUUUCAAUUCAUGAGGAAAAAUAGUGAUGUAAAUUCAUAAAAUAUUUCAAGUAAUUGGCACGAAGCCUAAAUAUGGAAAUAAGCCCAAUUCAUGGUGAAAUACAGUAAAUCUUUAUCACAUACGCGGUAAAAUAUCAACUGGGAUGAACCAAGUCACAAUUCCCAAUAGUAAAUGACCCCGCGCUAAUCAUACAACGCGUGUAUCAUCUCAACAUACCGAUAUGUUGUGCAAUUCAGAUGUCAUUUAAAAUCAUUACUCACCUCGAACCGGUGAAAUCUCUCGCCCGUGACGCCCUUGCUCCUCAAAUCGACCUCCACGCGCGUCGAAUCUAUCAAAAUUCAGAGUGAAUACAUCACAAUAUGCUAAAGGAAUAUAACUCAAUCAAAAAGACUCUAAAAAUAACAAAAAACAUGAAAUUCGCAAAACCCGAUCCCCGGGCCCACGUCUCGAAUUCCAGAAAUUUUUAUAUCAAUACGAUCUUUAUCUCACCACGAGUCUAUACAUACCAAAUUCACAAAAAUCAGAGUUCAUUUGACCCCUCAAAUCACCAUUUCUAUCCAAGAGAAUUUUCUACCCUUUUCAACAAAAUUCUCAAAUUAAACACCAAAACUUGCAAAAGAUUCGAGUUAUACAACAAAAAUUGAGUUAAGAACACUUACCCCGAUGUUUUCCUUGAAAAUUCCUCAAAAAAUCGCCUAACCCGAGCUCCCAUGGUCCGAAAAUGAAAGAGUGAGACGAUGUUAGACUUUGAUAUGCUUCUCAGGCAUUUGUUCUUCGUGUUCGCGGUCCCUUCGCGUUCCCGAAAAACAAAUUUCCAUAAAUUCUUCUUUCAAACUCUUCUCGGACUGCCUCUAGUAUAAUAGUCAUCACUUUUUGCACACAAACUCCAAAUGAUAACAGGUUUGAUGUUUUGAAACCUAGACACAAAGGGCUUUAAAUUCGUAUGCUGAUCAUUUCUUGAAUCCUUACACAUUGCGAUAUAUAAGCUUCACAAGUUAGCCCUGUGUAUUAGAGACUUUCCUAGACAGCCUAUAGUGUAACCACAAUAACUUUUUGUACAUUUCUUUAAAUUUCCAUUCUAUAUAUUUCUGAAAACUAGAAUCAAUUAUCUACUACUUUCGUUUUUAAAUCACCUCCACAUUCUUUGUAGAUAAAAAGAUAUGAGCUUCCGAAGUAGGACCUGUCCGACAGAAAAUUCCUUCUUCGCGAACACGAAGCAUUGUCCUUAAUGCGAAGGCAAAAAUUCCCAGAUGACAAUUCAUUCUUCGAUAACGCGAAGCACUGUCGAGAACGCGGCGGCAAAAAGUCUCAGAACCCAAUUUCUUCUUCUCGAACACGAAGAACAACAACAGAUACCAGCAACUGCAGUCCAAAACUUCCCAAAAAUGACCUGUUGGCACUUCGAAAUCACCCCGAGGCCCUCGAGACCUCAUCCAAAAGCACAGAUAUGUCCUAUUACCUUAUUAAAACUUGCGCGAACCAUAAGAAUACUAUCGUUAACAUCAAAGUCAUCAAGUUAUAGUCAAAUUAUUGCUUAAGUUAAACUAAAACUUUUAAAAUUCUCAUUCAAUCAUAAAUCUUACCUAAACACCUCCGAAUCAAUUGAAAUUUUACCCACAAGUCCAAAAUCACCUAACAAAGCUACUGCAACUGUGGGAAUUCCAUUCGUUCUCCCGGACCAAAAUCUCAACUAAAAACCGAAAACCGCACAAAAACUAAUUGCUUCACUGGACCUCCAAAAUUCAUUAUGAUUGCGCUCCUAAGCCUUAAAUCAUCCCCCGAAACUAACCGAAUCAUCGGAAUUCAAUUCCGAGCCUUAUAACUCACAAGUCAAUGUUCAGUUGACUUUUUCAUAUUAAUUCUUCUUUAAAGUGACUAUUUGUCUUACUUCAUAUCACAAUUGCUCCAAAUAAAUUCUAAUGCACCCAAUACCGAUAAUGAAGCAUGAGGAAGUAGGAAAUGAAACAAACGGGGCAGUAACUCAUGAGACGACGGGUCGGUUCGUCGCACCUUCCUACUAAGACAUUCCAUCGCUAUAGGUGUGGAAUGCAAGGAAUAGAGGCUUCCUCGCAAGCCAAGCAACUUGAUGGGGACAGCCUCUUCGCUAUGCGAGAGACUGUGUCAAAGCUCACAUCCGAACGGGGAUUUGGGUCGCAUCAAUGCGUACCCAAGUAUAAGAAAGUAAUUUAAUUAAAUCGCGCCUAAAGAGUAUAACACAAUAUUAUUUCAGGGAAAUCCGUGAAAUUUCCUAAACGGCCCUCCCGAAUUCUAAGUAUUUUAACAACUGUUUAAUGAGGGCCCCACAUUUUAUAUUUUAUUUGGAGAGGCUCGUCUCAUUUUAUUUUAAAGCCGACCAAAGUAAACUACAAUUUUCUAUUCAACUUUUUGCUAAAAUAGAAGGAAAAUCCUACUUAAUUAAAGUGCCCAAAACCUUAAUACAAUUGCAAACAAUUAAGCCCAAUAGUUGCAUAAGUAAAGCAAAACAUUAAAACUAACAGCCCCAAAUUCAAUGUUCAGGGACGGGGUAGACUGAGCCUAAAAGAAGCCUAAAUAAACGACAAUUCAUAAAGUGGGCCUGGUUUGAGUCUUUAACUCAUUGGGAAUUAACAGGUAAUUGAGUCAAAAUGCUCAUCAAUAAAGCUUCAAUUGAUUCACUUAUUACUAAUAAUCUAUUACUUAUUUAUAUUACAUCGAUUUGCCUCAAAAACUAUUCACAAGAGUCAUCCUGAUUUAUUAAAAAUGAACGAAUAUUCUAACUCAGACUAACGUGAAAAUACAUGACCUUCUUUUUUUGUUGAAUGAGCACAACUGUGAGUAAUUGACUCACAGUCACAACGACACUAACAUUGGACCUGGUUUUAAGCAAAUUUAUGAACCUUUUAAUGAGAAAAUAAUUAAAACUAAGGGGAACUAUUAACUUCAACCUUUGCCCAGAAUUUUCAAUAUUAACAUUGAAACAGUGAACUCGGGGGAACCUACUGAAAUUGUGGACCAAAUUGAAGUUAAACAAUAAUUCCCAAACAAGUUAAACCUAUUAUCGUUAAGCUCCUGUUGGAAACCCAGGCAGCUUAUAUAGUCCAAAGCCAAACAGCACAAGUGUAAUUUCAGUAACAAAAGGAAAUCUAGUUGAACAUAACACUAAGCUAAAGAAUAGUAAUACUAAACUAUUCUACCAAUUAACAGCCUUAACAGUCCAGAAUUAGUUCAGUUAGAUAGCACCAAAUUUCAAGUAAUCAAACCAUUUUACAAAUUAAAAUUAACCAGAGAUGAAAUGAAUUUAGAAUUCGACUUCUAACAGCAAUUCGAAUAGCAUUUCUUCAUGUAUUCCCAAACCAAAAUUUAUACAGAUCCUUCAAGUUCAUAUGAGGUCAAAAUGUACCUGGAAAUGUAAGAUCACAGGAGAGAAUAGAGAGGUCGGCUAGGUAGCAACAGAUGAGGCAAUCAUAGCCAAUCCCAUGCAACGACAAACGACCAAACAAAGGUAAUUUGACCAUCACAGCUUCACAAUGAACCCGGAAAUGCACACAGAGGAGAAUAGCUAACAAAACACUCAAAAAUGAUUCCAACAACCAAUCUCAACUUGAAAUAAUCCAAAGUAACUCGAAAUGGAACUUAAAUUACCCCUAGAAUUUUACUGAUGUAAUGGUCAACCAAAAAACCCCACUUAAAUUGACUUAAACUCAAACGAAAUGAACAAUAACUAAUGCUGGAAUUGAAUAUAUGAGUCAGCAUUUAAAUACAUCAAAAGUAACUUAGAAUUUUCAACGGAAUAGUAUUAUAAUUUUUUUAUGGAUCUUCUGUUAGUUUUUCUUGAUUUUUUUUUGUUUUUUGAAGGUUUUGAAAUUUGAAUUUUAGAUUGAGGAGAUCAGAUCUGCAAAAUUGUUUUUGGGAGAGUGUUUGGAG